AGGGAAUUUUCCACAAUGGACGAAAGUCUGAUGGAGCAACGCCGCGUGAACGAUGAAGGCUUUCGGGUCGUAAAGUUCUGUUGUUAGGGACGAACAAGUGCCGUUCGAAUAGGGCGGUGCCUUGACGGUACCUAACGAGAAAGCCACGGCUAACUACGUGCCAGCAGCCGCGGUAAUACGUAGGUGGCAAGCGUUGUCCGGAAUUAUUGGGCGUAAAGCGCGCGCAGGCGGUUAUGUAAGUCUGAUGGUAAAGCCCGGGGCUCAACCUCGGUCCGCAUUGGAAACUGUGUAACUUGAGUGCAGAAGAGGAAAGUGGUAUUCCACGUGUAGCGGUGAAAUGCGUAGAGAUGUGGAGGAACACCAGUGGUGAAGGCGACUUUCUGGUCUGUAACUGACGCUGAGGCGCGAAAGCGUGGGGAGCAAAC
This 425-nucleotide ribosomal RNA is filed under the name uncultured bacterium. RNAcentral describes it as "bacterial SSU rRNA". It matches the Rfam family "Bacterial small subunit ribosomal RNA", at positions 356 to 773 of the family's 1533-position model. The record is from RNAcentral.